Molecule: ribosomal RNA, 253 nt
Filed under: uncultured bacterium
Lineage: Bacteria
Description: partial 16S ribosomal RNA
Rfam family: Bacterial small subunit ribosomal RNA
Source: RNAcentral
UACGGGGGGGGUAAGCGUUGUUCGGAAUUACUGGGCGUAAAGCGUGCGCAGGCGGUUUUGUAAGACAGAGGUGAAAUCCCCGGGCUCAACCUGGGAACUGCCUUUGUGACUGCAAGGCUUGAGUGCGGCAGAGGGGGAUGGAAUUCCGCGUGUAGCAGUGAAAUGCGUAGAUAUGCGGAGGAACACCGAUGGCGAAGGCAAUCCCCUGGGCCUGCACUGACGCUCAUGCACGAAAGCGUGGGGAGCAAACAGG